Long non-coding RNA from Thalassophryne amazonica, 173 nucleotides. RefSeq lists it as uncharacterized. Lineage: Eukaryota; Metazoa; Chordata; Actinopteri; Batrachoidiformes; Batrachoididae. The record is from RefSeq and is a predicted model, not a curated record. The transcript has 2 exons.
GCGUUGUGCGCAAAGGCGUGGACCCGCGGGUGUUUCACAGACUCACGCUAGAAAGUCAUCGGGUUGAAAGGUGCUCCUUUCUUACUCCAGGUCAUUGUGCCUGUAUCAGAAACAGCAUCCGGUGAAUGUUUCUGCGUGUAGAAACUCACCUAAAGAAUAUUCAGGAACGAAAA